GGUAAAUAUUAACAUAGCACCAAAUUUUGUAAUUAAGUAUAAAUGACUAUACAUUUGAAUUUAGUUUAGGGCAAGAUUUUAUACAAGGUCAUAAGAUUAAAUACAGAGUUAUUUGCCCCAUAAAAUUAGUACUCAGUACUAUAAUGAAGACAUACUUUUGCAAAUCAUCAUUCAGCAGAAGUUCUUUAUCCCACAGCUAUAUCUAUCUACAAUUUCAAUUUUAGGAUCUCAAUGCCCUUUAAAAAAUUGUAUGGGCCAGGCGAGGUGGCCCACACCUGUAAUCCCGGCACUCUGGGAGGCUGAGGCAGGCGGAUCACCUGAGACCAGGAGUUCAACAGCAGCCUGGCCAACAUGUUGAAACCCAGUCUCUACUAAAAAUACAAAAAUUAGGCAUGGUGGCACAUGCCUGUAAUCCCAGCUACUCAAGAGGCUGAAGAAGGAGAAUCAUUUGAAACUGGGAGGCGGAGGUUGCAGUGAGCCAAGAUCGCGCCAUUGCACUACAGCCUGGGUGACAAGAGUGGGACUCCAUUUCAAAAAAAAAAAAAUUAUAUGGAUAAGACAUCUAGAAAACUUAAAAAAUGAGUUAGAAAACUCCUCACAAGCUCCCAUGUUCUUAAAUCCAUGGUUUUGUGAACAUAUUCUACAGACCUACUCUGAAUUGUCAUAGCCCUUCCCCACUCCCUGUUAGUCUAAUUUAACACAUCCAGUCACAGCACAUUUGCCUGAAACUUCAGGACUUACAGGCCCCAUCCUGGGACCGCACCAGGGUAGAAACCUAUAACCUGCUCCUGGUCUCACCAUUUUAUGAUUUUUAUGAUAUUGGGUCAUCACUGAACUUUUCUACCUUGAUUUCCUUUAAAAGGAGACACUCCUAGCUAUCCUGCCUGCAUCACAAGAUUCCGAGCAAGGAACUAGUGGAAGCUCUUUGAAAAUCGCCAAGUGCUAGAUACCUGCCAGUAUUAAGAUUAUUGUGAUGGUAGUUAAAAUGGGAAAGCAGGGGGGUUAAGUUAGGGAGUGUUGUCAUGCACCUAGAAAUGAUGGAUUAAAUCAAAGCAAGGAGACGAAAAAGAAGAGAGGUUCAAAGUCCAUGUUCCAUAGAUAACACGCAAGAGGUAUGGAGAAAGGUUCCUAGAGUCACUAGGGCAACCUGAGGGUCAGAAAGAGGCAUGAGAAUCGCUUGAGCCUGGGAGGCCGAUGUUGCAGUGAGCCGAGAUUGCACCACUACACUCCAGCCUGGGCAAUACAGUGAGACUCUGUCUCAAAAAAAACACAAAAAAACAAAAACCACUGUCCCCCGACAAAACGUGCUGUCUGUCUGCUUCUCGCCACUUCUUGGUGAAUAAGACACCCCAGCUUGGAGAGCCAGUAUACUUUUUGCCUCUUUUCCUCUAAAUUGUUUCCUGCAUCUCUUUCCUGCUUAUAGAACCAGAUCCUAUUUUCCAUGGUUUUUUCUGAUCCUUUUCCUUCCAUAACUGCAAACUUUGACCUUUGUACACUGGGAAGGGACCUAGCUGAAACACUUGAAUUGCUAAACCUUAAAGUCUCAGCCCAGGAAUUGACACUGGUGCUUGGGGCUUUUCUCCACAGUCAUCCAAACUCAAACCCCCGCUCUCACUAAAUGCAUCAGGGGCAGGGAAGUGCGAUGUCCUGAAUUUGCUGUCCUUGAACUAAGAGACUCAAGAGAGGGGUGGGUGUUUGGAUUGAGAUCGAUAUCAGAGGUGCCGCGGGGCAGAUGGGAUGUUGAGCGUGUUCUGUAGCUUUGGAUGAACUGUGCGAAUAUGAGCCACUUCUAGAGUGGGACAAUCCUGCCUCUUUGUUCCCAAAUCCGAGGAGGGGAAAGGCUGCUGUGAGCCCACUUCUUUCUCUCCUACUUUACAUUUCCUGCCCUGCUAUUAGAAUUCCCAUUUUGGUAAAAGGAAACGUAUUCCAGAAACAGUUCCAGAAUUCAUUUUGGUCCUUUGGUUUUGUUUUUUUUAUUAUAAAAUUAGCCGUGUGUGUCCACUCAGAAACCUGGACACAGAUGUUCAUAGUGGCAUUAUUCAUAAUAGCCCAGACCUGUAAACAAUCCACAUGACCGUCAACUGAGAAACAGAAAAACAAAAUGCAGGACCUCCAUGCGAUGGCGUCCUCCCCGACAGCAAAGGGACAGAUAUUCCUGCGUAUACAUGACGUACACCUGAUACUCACUACAACAUGCAUACGCCUCAAAAGCAUUAAGUGAAAGAAGCCAGAUGCAAAAGGCCACAUAUUGUUUGAUUCUUUUUAUAUGAAACUUCCCAUAAAGGCAAAUCUGUGCAAACAGCAAGAUCAACAGUAGCUGAGGUUGGAGAUGGGAGUGGUGGUUAACUGCAAAUGGCAUGAAUGAUCUUUUUGGAGUAAUGGAAAUGUCUCAAAACUGGAUUGUGGUGAUGAUUGCACAACUCUAUAAAGGUAUUAAAGAUUUUUGAGGCCAGACACCAUGGCUCACUCUUGGAAUCCCAACACUUUAGAAGGCGAGGCUGGAGGAUCGUUGGGCCUAGGUGUUCAAGACCAGCAUAGGCAACAUAGUGAGAUCCCAUUUGUACAAAA
This 2568-nucleotide long non-coding RNA is filed under the name Homo sapiens (human). Its description in RNAcentral is "non-protein coding lnc-SVIL-1:1". Lineage: Eukaryota; Metazoa; Chordata; Mammalia; Primates; Hominidae. The record is from RNAcentral.